CUGGCAGUUCUUUCGUCCCGUUUGCAUUGAAUAAUGGUUGGAAUACAUUGAUCCUCGCUAUGACUGCUCAAUAAUUCGAAUUCAGACGUUAGAUAAGAAAGACGGGUACACAAUACAUUUUUCUGACCACACAACCGACUAACGUACACCGGGAUUACAACGCCUGAUGAAAAUACAAUACUCGAGCGGUCUACGGUUCCUUCUUUCUUUCCCCUGGGUUUUCUUCCUUUUGUUUCCUUUUCCUUUGCUUAGCAGAUAUGUAUGCAUUUUUCUUGCUGUAGAAGCAAAGCACCCGUUUCCUCGUGACGCUGAAGCUCUCUGGUUCUACAAAAGACGAAGGUAAUAAAACCUUUAUAGUUCGCAGACGAACAUGUCUGCCCAGGUAAAAUUGUUGUAAUACUGAUAUAACUCCUCAUUGUCGAAUAAAGAAACCCAUGUUCGGCACACGUCACUUCAUGAACUGAUUUCACAUUUCGAUCUUUGCAUCCAUAGAAUCACUCAUAUUCAAUUUGGAACGGAAGUUUGGGAAAGAAUAAAUUGAAUGGAAGGAGUUAAAACCAGCUGUAAUUCCACAUCCCUUACUAGAGGAAGGAUGGUACGAACUGAAAAAUGUUUAUAAUAUAAUAAGCUCAUGAACAAAAGAUAUGAGACUUUUUACAAAGAAUAAUUUCUCAAGAAACCGACUUACUUAGAUGUUUAGAUUAUAUACUUUCUUUUUCUUGCACUUAAAAAUAUGUAAGUAUAUUCCUACGAGACCACAUAUUUUGAAGUUCAGAUUGGAGGAAAUAUGGUGUGCGAGAAUAAAUGAAUGGAACUUAUUCAGUACUUGAGGAAUAAUUGUUGAACUCACAUCAGUUAGCCCAGCUGGACGAACAAUAAAGAUAAACGUAUAGAGAAGCAUUUUAAAUUAGCAAGCAUUUCCACUGUCGAAAGAUUAGGAGUUAGCCUGUUCACACAUACGUAUAGCCCAUUAAAAGGAUGCAAAAAAUUGAGCUAAUAGGCCAAAAAUAAAUAUAAAAAUUCCCAUGCAUAACAAUCAAAUUAAUUAGGAUUCUUGAAAUUAAGAUACCCGAUAACGAAACUAUGGCUGAAUGAUACAAGAAAAAACUCACACACCAUGCAUUCGAUUAGAAUACUCGAACAAUCUUCUCUUAUUAUCUAUACUACACAUCACGCUACGUAGAUAUCAUAUCGAAGGAAUACAACUUUUAUGGAUCAUAACACCACCAAGCUUGGGCGUAGUAGAGUAAUUAAAAGCAUCAAUAAUAUGGCAAGCAAUCAUUCAUCUCGCACACAAAAAGGAAAGAAACAUAGGCCACGGCAUAGGAGAAAAUAUCUUGUACCGUGCAAACAUAGACACACGCAUGCCGUAAGUAGGGAGAGAGAGAGAGAUCGAUUGAGCUGCAUAAAGAUGGAUCAUGCAAUAACUUCUCGAGGUUAAAGGAGCUUUUGUUGAAAAGAGAUGGCACUUGUAGCUAUUCCACAUGAACAUAUCAAAAGGCACAUGUGAUAUAACAAUGCAUGAUGCAAAAGUAAUAGCUCGAGGUGCCAUCUCUCCUGCAACAAAAGUUCCUAUCAAGCUCUUAACAGUGCUCUCCUUUCUCUCUCUCUCUCUCUUUUUUUUUUUUUUAAUUUUAUUGGGAGAGAACAAACCCCCUCAAACUCUCCCGAUGUAUCUAUCUCUAAAAUCUG
This 1692-nucleotide long non-coding RNA is filed under the name Eucalyptus grandis. Its description in RNAcentral is "long non-coding RNA (EGRA_LNC006044)". The record is from RNAcentral. Lineage: Eukaryota; Viridiplantae; Streptophyta; Magnoliopsida; Myrtales; Myrtaceae.